Molecule: ribosomal RNA, 484 nt
Filed under: uncultured bacterium
Lineage: Bacteria
Description: partial 16S ribosomal RNA
Rfam family: Bacterial small subunit ribosomal RNA
Source: RNAcentral
AUUGAACGCUGGCGGCAGGCCUAACACAUGCAAGUCGAGCGGAUGAAGGGAGCUUGCUCCUGGAUUCAGCGGCGGACGGGUGAGUAAUGCCUAGGAAUCUGCCUGGUAGUGGGGGAUAACGUCCGGAAACGGGCGCUAAUACCGCAUACGUCCUGAGGGAGAAAGUGGGGGAUCUUCGGACCUCACGCUAUCAGAUGAGCCUAGGUCGGAUUAGCUAGUUGGUGGGGUAAAGGCCUACCAAGGCGUCGAUCCGUAACUGGUCUGAGAGGAUGAUCAGUUACACUGGAACUGAGACACGGUCCAGACUCCUACGGGAGGCAGCAGUGGGGAAUAUUGGACAAUGGGCGAAAGCCUGAUCCAGCCAUGCCGCGUGUGUGAAGAAGGUCUUCGGAUUGUAAAGCACUUUAAGUUGGGAGGAAGGGCAGUAAGUUAAUACCUUGCUGUUUUGACGUUACCAACAGAAUAAGCACCGGCUAACUUCGUG